This 227-nucleotide ribosomal RNA is filed under the name Mesorhizobium sp. RNAcentral describes it as "partial 16S ribosomal RNA". It matches the Rfam family "Bacterial small subunit ribosomal RNA", at positions 349 to 568 of the family's 1533-position model. The record is from RNAcentral. Lineage: Bacteria; Pseudomonadati; Pseudomonadota; Alphaproteobacteria; Hyphomicrobiales; Phyllobacteriaceae.
CAGCAGUGGGGAAUAUUGGACAAUGGGCGAAAGCCUGAUCCAGCCAUGCCGCGUGUGUGAAGAAGGUCUUCGGAUUGUAAAGCACUUUAAGUUGGGAGGAAGGGUUGUAGAUUAAUACUCUGCAAUUUUGACGUUACCGACAGAAUAAGCACCGGCUAACUCUGUGCCAGCAGCCGCGGUAAUACAGAGGGUGCAAGCGUUAAUCGGAAUUACUGGGCGUAAAGCGC